CACGUAGGGGGCGAGCGUUGUCCGGAUUUAUUGGGCGUAAAGAGCUCGUAGGCGGCUCAGUAAGUCGGGUGUGAAAACUCCAGGCUCAACCUGGAGACGCCACCUGAUACUGCUGUGGCUAGAGUCCGGUAGGGGAGCAUGGAAUUCCUGGUGUAGCGGUGAAAUGCGCAGAUAUCAUGAGGAAGACCAGUGGCGAAGGCGGGUCUCUGGACAGUUCCUGACACUGAGGCACGAAGGCCAGGGGAGCAAACGGG
This 254-nucleotide ribosomal RNA is filed under the name uncultured bacterium. RNAcentral describes it as "partial 16S ribosomal RNA". It matches the Rfam family "Bacterial small subunit ribosomal RNA", at positions 524 to 776 of the family's 1533-position model. The record is from RNAcentral.